This 944-nucleotide small RNA is filed under the name Pongo abelii (Sumatran orangutan). RNAcentral's name for it is "retained intron". The record is from RNAcentral. Lineage: Eukaryota; Metazoa; Chordata; Mammalia; Primates; Hominidae.
UUUUUUGUUAUGUGGUUCAGAUGAGGAACCUCAGUUGAAAGAAACUGUUAAGGAAUGGUAAAUUGGGGUACAUUUUUCUGCAGCAGUUAAAGAGAAUAAGACAAAUCUAUCAUGAAAUGAAAAAAUAUUCAUGACAGUAAGUGAAAAGUUGAGGACAAAAUAUAUAGUAUGAUCCUAUUUUGUCUUAAAAGCAAAUCCCAAAGCAGAACUAUAGCUGGUAAUUACAUGUGUAAAUUUACAGACAGAGGCCUAGAAGUUUCUCAUUAAAACUCUUAACUGGCUACAUCUGCUAAGGCAAGUAGGGGAUGGGCAAAGAUUUCUGCUUUUUAUUCUGUGUACCUUUGCAGUUGAAAUUUUUUUUGCAGUGAAACAACUGAACAUUUGUGUACGUAUUUAACAAAUUGGGAUGAGUACUAUGCAAGCAUAUAAUAAAGAAAACUCACUUGGGGGAAGUCACAGGAAUCUGCAUCUGGACGAGCUCUCAUUCUCCGGGGCUUUUCUGCUAUAGGAAUCUACGGCGGAUCCGGAAGUGUCAGCGUGGUCGAGAGCAGCAGGAAAAGGAAGGGAAGGAAGGAAACAGUAAGAAGACCAUGGAGAAUGUGGAUAGUCUGGAUAAGCUGGAGUGUAGAUUCAAGCUGAAUUCCUACAAGAUGGUGUAUGUGAUCAAAUCAGAGGACUAUAUGUAUCGGAGGACUGCCCUGCUCCGGGCUCAUCAGUCCCAUGAGCGUGUAAGCAAGCGUCUACAUCAGAGAUUCCAGGCCUGGGUAGAUAAAUGGACCAAGGAGCAUGUGCCCCGUGAAAUGGCAGCAGAGACCAGCAAGUGGCUCAUGGGUGAGGGGCUGGAGGGCCUGGUGCCCUGUACCACCACCUGUGAUACAGAGACCCUGCAUUUUGUGAGCAUUAACAAGUAUCGUGUCAAAUACGGCACAGUAUUCAAAGCCCCU